CACUGCAAAUCACAUUAAUAAAUAUUAUUAUUAUAAACUUAUAACCAUGGCAAGAUUCACACAAAUUACAUAAAAAAGACACACACAGACAGAAUAUAUAAAAAGCUACUACAUUUAUUUGGUUCUUUUAUAGAACACUAAUAGUAAAACUUAAAGGCCAUGGCACACCCUCCCUUCUUCCAUUCAAUCUUCACGGUUGCUUGUUGUUGCAGCACUCUGAAGGUCACGAAGCUCUUUCUCUCGCACCCUCUUCUGUUCAUUCAGUUGUGCAAUCUUGUCAUCAUUUUCACGUGGCUGUGGUACAGAUACUCCAUUCACAGUUUUGUAAAACUGUGGACUCCUACUCUCAUAAUGAGCUAUCUUUCUCUCUAAUUUUUUUACUGCCUUUUUGACUCCUCCAAUUGCAAACUUAGAGUUCUUCUCACCACUCAUGUUUCCUUGUUCAGAAAAUGCGUUUGUUUUACUACUAUUGAGA
RNAcentral lists this long non-coding RNA (475 nucleotides) under Cicer arietinum (chickpea). RNAcentral describes it as "long non-coding RNA (CARI_LNC001550)". The record is from RNAcentral. Lineage: Eukaryota; Viridiplantae; Streptophyta; Magnoliopsida; Fabales; Fabaceae.